GGCAGCCAGAAGAGCACGUAUACGCAAGGCUGUC
This 34-nucleotide unclassified non-coding RNA is filed under the name synthetic construct. RNAcentral describes it as "GTP Class II RNA (34-MER) from synthetic construct (PDB 5LWJ, chain A)". The record is from RNAcentral.